Salarias fasciatus (jewelled blenny) is the source of this 95-nucleotide long non-coding RNA. RefSeq lists it as uncharacterized. The transcript has 3 exons. NCBI's taxonomy places the organism in Eukaryota, Metazoa, Chordata, Actinopteri, Blenniiformes, Blenniidae. The record is from RefSeq and is a predicted model, not a curated record.
GAGAGCUGGACGAUGUCGUUCAGAAUGAGAAAGUUUUCCAAGCUGUGUCACAGAGAAUGGAGGCUCACGGCUGAGCACAAGAAGCACAGUAACAA